CCCUUUAAUGUUUGAUGUUCUAACGUGGACCCGUGAUCCGGGUUGCGGACAGUGUCUGGUGGGUAGUUUGACUGGGGCGGUCUCCUCCUAAAGAGUAACGGAGGAGCACGAAGGUUGGCUAAUCCUGGUCGGACAUCAGGAGGUUAGUGCAAUGGCAUAAGCCAGCUUGACUGCGAGCGUGACGGCGCGAGCAGGUGCGAAAGCAGGUCAUAGUGAUCCGGUGGUUCUGAAUGGAAGGGCCAUCGCUCAACGGAUAAAAGGUACUCCGGGGAUAACAGGCUGAUACCGCCCAAGAGUUCAUAUCGACGGCGGUGUUUGGCACCUCGAUGUCGGCUCAUCACAUCCUGGGGCUGAAGUAGGUCCCAAGGGUAUGGCUGUUCGCCAUUUAAAGUGGUACGCGAGCUGGGUUUAGAACGUCGUGAGACAGUUCGGUCCCUAUCUGCCGUGGGCGCUGGAGAACUGAGGGGGGCUGCUCCUAGUACGAGAGGACCGGAGUGGACGCAUCACUGGUGUUCGGGUUGUCAUGCCAAUGGCACUGCCCGGUAGCUAAAUGCGGAAGAGAUAAGUGCUGAAAGCAUCUAAGCACGAAACUUGCCCCGAGAUGAGUUCUCCCUGAGACUUAGAGUCUCCUGAAGGAACGUUGAAGACGACGACGUUGAUAGGCCGGGUGUGUAAGCGCAGCGAUGCGUUGAGCUAACCGGUACUAAUGAACCGUGAGGCUUAACCUUACAACGCCGAAG
This 740-nucleotide ribosomal RNA is filed under the name Salmonella enterica subsp. enterica. RNAcentral's name for it is "bacterial LSU rRNA". It matches the Rfam family "Bacterial large subunit ribosomal RNA", at positions 2203 to 2925 of the family's 2925-position model. The record is from RNAcentral. Lineage: Bacteria; Pseudomonadati; Pseudomonadota; Gammaproteobacteria; Enterobacterales; Enterobacteriaceae.